Molecule: ribosomal RNA, 477 nt
Filed under: uncultured bacterium
Lineage: Bacteria
Description: partial 16S ribosomal RNA
Rfam family: Bacterial small subunit ribosomal RNA
Source: RNAcentral
AUUGAACGCUGGCGGCAUGCCUUACACAUGCAAGUCGAACGGUAACAGGUUAAGCUGACGAGUGGCGAACGGGUGAGUAAUGUAUCGGGACGUGCCCAGUCGUGGGGGAUAACUGCUCGAAAGAGCAGCUAAUACCGCAUACGACCUGAGGGUGAAAGCGGGGGAUCGCAAGACCUCGCGCGAUUGGAGCGGCCGAUAUCAGAUUAGGUAGUUGGUGAGGUAAAGGCUCACCAAGCCGACGAUCUGUAGCUGGUCUGAGAGGACGACCAGCCACACUGGGACUGAGACACGGCCCAGACUCCUACGGGAGGCAGCAGUGGGGAAUUUUGGACAAUGGGCGCAAGCCUGAUCCAGCCAUGCCGCGUGCGGGAAGAAGGCCUUCGGGUUGUAAACCGCUUUUGUCAGGGAAGAAAAGGUUCUGGCUAAUACCUGGGACUCAUGACGGUACCUGAAGAAUAAGCACCGGCUAACUACGUG